Molecule: long non-coding RNA, 757 nt
Organism: Lepidothrix coronata (blue-crowned manakin)
Lineage: Eukaryota; Metazoa; Chordata; Aves; Passeriformes; Pipridae
Exons: 5
Source: RefSeq, a predicted model, not a curated record
CACUUUGGCAGCUGUGAACUGCCAGUGAUGUUGAAUUGUCCUGUCUGAUCUCAUUGUAUCAUCUGUUUGCUCACAGAUUGAAACUAUGAAAUCAUAAAGAUGCCUUUUGAAUUUCUGUAACAGUGUGUGUUUGGUGUUGUGAUGUAAACUUCCAACUCCCAAUUUCGUUGUGUCAUCUCUGGCCCUAUUCUGUCCAUACUAUUUGGUACAUGUUCUAGAGUUUUCUUCUUCACAUUACCCUUUUCAAGAGGAUUAAUAACCUGCUUUAUUCCUAAUAUCAAACUUCAUGUGCCUGAAGAACCUGGGAAGUAGUAAUUGGAGCCCAGCCUGUACAUCCUGUGGCAUUUAGACUGUAUAGCAGCCAUACAUUAGUAUGGUACUUCGUUUUCUCAUGUGACAUAAACCAGUCAAGAACAGUGACUUCUAAUUGUUUCAAAUUGUAUAUUAAGGAGAUACAAGACUGUAUAUUCAGUUGUAUAUUAAGGAGAUACAAGACUGAGCCCACUGACAUUUUAAGAUCACUGUAUGGAAGACAGAAAGAUUACUAUUGGUUUGGAUAUAAGAAACAGCAAGGGCAGUUUUGUCCUCUUAUAGGACAGGAAAGCCAUUUACCUAUUGGAAUGAGUCCAGAGGAGAGUUAUUAAGUUGAUUGCAGGGCUGGAACAUCUCUUGAGAAGACUGGGACUGAGGCAGAGAGUUCAAAGACCAGGAUUUUCUCCUUUAUCUUUAUUCAAGCUUAUUGCAACAUAAAUCCCUA